UGAGUGCGAGCUGCUACGGCAGCGAAGUUGGUGACGUCAAGCUUCCAAGAAAAGCCCUAUACCCGUUAAGGCAUCAUGGCCUGUACCCGAAACCGACACAGGUGGGGUGGUAGAGAAUACCGAGGGGCGCGAGGUAACUCUCUCUAAGGAACUCGGCAAAAUGGCCCCGUAACUUCGGGAGAAGGGGUGCCACCGCAAGGUGGUCGCAGUGAAGAGGCCCAGGCGACUGUUUACCAAAAACACAGGUCUCCGCUAAGUCGCAAGACGAUGUAUGGGGGCUGACGCCUGCCCAGUGCCGGAAGGUUAAGGAAGCUGGUCAGCGCAAGCGAAGCUGGCGACUGAAGCCCCGGUGAACGGCGGCCGUAACAAUAACGGUCCUAAGGUAGCGAAAUUCCUUGUCGGGUAAGUUCCGACCCGCACGGAAGGCGUAACGAUCUGGGCGCUGUCUCGGAGAGAGGCUCGGCGAAAUAGAAUUGUCUGUGAAGAUGCGGACUACGUGCACCCGGACAGAAAGACCCUAUGAAGCUUUACUGUAGCUUGGUAUUGUGCCCGGGCUCUGAAUGCGCAGGAUAGGUGGGAGGCUUUGAUCAUCGGCUUGCGGGUCGAUGUGAGCCAACGGUGAGAUACCACUCUUUCAGAGCUAGGGUUCUAACAGUCACCCGUUAUCCGGGGACUGGACAGUAUCAGGUGGGCAGUUUGACUGGGGCGGUCGCCUCCUAAAAGGUAACGGAGGCGCGCAAAGGUCUGCUCAGGCUGGUUGGAAAUCAGCCGACGAGUGUAAAAGCAGAAGCAGGCUUGACUGUGAGACCUACAAGUCGAACAGGGAGGAAACUCGGCUUUAGUGAUCCGACGGUUCUGCGUGGAAGGGCCGUCGCUCAACGGAUAAAAGUUACUCUAGGAUAACAUGCUGAUCUCCCCCAAGAGUUCACAUCGACGGGGAGGUUUGGCACCUCGAUGUCGGCUCAUCGCAACCUGGGGCUGAAGUCGGUCCCAAGGGUUGGGCUGUUCGCCCAUUAAAGCGGUACGCGAGCUGGGUUCAGAACGUCGUGAGACAGUUCGGUCCAUAUCCGGUGCAUGCGCAGGAAUAUUGAGAGGAGUUCUCCCUAGUACGAGAGGACCGGGAGGAACGCACCUCUGGUGUACCAGUUAUCGUGCCAACGGUAAACACUGGGUAGCCAUGUGCGGAGAGGAUAACCGCUGAAAGCAUCUAAGUGGGAAGCCCACCUCAAGAUGAGUAUUCCCAUGGCGUUAGCCAGUAAGGUCACGGGAAGAACACCCGUUGAUAGGCUCUAUGUGGAAGCGCAGUAAUGCGUGAAGCAGAGGAGUACUAAUAGACCGAGGGCUU
Molecule: ribosomal RNA, 1345 nt
Filed under: metagenome
Description: bacterial LSU rRNA
Rfam family: Bacterial large subunit ribosomal RNA
Source: RNAcentral